Molecule: ribosomal RNA, 403 nt
Filed under: uncultured bacterium
Lineage: Bacteria
Description: partial 16S ribosomal RNA
Rfam family: Bacterial small subunit ribosomal RNA
Source: RNAcentral
GACGAAUGCUGGCGGCGUGCCUAAUACAUGCAAGUCGAACGCAGUGGGGACGGGGGAGUAACACGUGGGUAACCUCCCAUCAGAGGGGAUAACACUUGGAAACAGGUUCUAAACCGAUACUGAUGGAUGGACCCGCGGUGCAUUCGCUAGUUGGUGAGGUAACGGCUCACCAAGGCCACGAUGCAUAGCCGAACUGAGAUGGGGAUCGGCCAAACUGGGACGGAGAACCGGCCCAGAGUCCUUCGGGAGGCAGCAGUAGGGAAUCUUCGGCAAUGGACGAAAGUCUGACCGAGCAACGCCGCGUGAGUGAUGACGGGCUGUGGGUUGGAAAGCUCUGUUAAUCGGGACGCGGUACCGGAAUAGAAAGCCACGGCUAACUACGUGCCAGCCGCCGCGGUAAUAC